Molecule: ribosomal RNA, 450 nt
Filed under: uncultured bacterium
Lineage: Bacteria
Description: partial 16S ribosomal RNA
Rfam family: Bacterial small subunit ribosomal RNA
Source: RNAcentral
GUGGGGAAUUUUGGACAAUGGGCGAAAGCCUGAUCCAGCAAUGCCGCGUGUGUGAAGAAGGCCUUCGGGUUGUAAAGCACUUUUGUCCGGAAAGAAAUCUGUCUGGCUAAUACCUAGAUGGGAUGACGGUACCGGAAGAAUAAGCACCGGCUAACUACGUGCCAGCAGCCGCGGUAAUACGUAGGGUGCGAGCGUUAAUCGGAAUUACUGGGCGUAAAGCGUGCGCAGGCGGUUUUGUAAGACCGAUGUGAAAUCCCCGGGCUUAACCUGGGAACUGCAUUGGUGACUGCAAGGCUAGAGUGCGUCAGAGGGGGGUGGAAUUCCGCGUGUAGCAGUGAAAUGCGUAGAGAUGCGGAGGAACACCGAUGGCGAAGGCAGCCCCCUGGGAUGACACUGACGCUCAUGCACGAAAGCGUGGGGAGCAAACAGGAUUAGAUACCCUAGUAGUCC